This 497-nucleotide ribosomal RNA is filed under the name uncultured bacterium. RNAcentral describes it as "partial 16S ribosomal RNA". It matches the Rfam family "Bacterial small subunit ribosomal RNA", at positions 28 to 507 of the family's 1533-position model. The record is from RNAcentral.
GAUGAACGCUGGCGGCGUGCCUAAUACAUGCAAGUCGAGCGAACAGACGAGGAGCUUGCUCCUCCGACGUUAGCGGCGGACGGGUGAGUAACACGUGGAUAACCUACCUAUAAGACUGGGAUAACUUCGGGAAACCGGAGCUAAUACCGGAUAAUAUAUUGAACCGCAUGGUUCAAUAGUGAAAUACGGUUUUGCUGUCACUUAUAGAUGGAUCCGCGCCGCAUUAGCUAGUUGGUAAGGUAACGGCUUACCAAGGCGACGAUGCGUAGCCGACCUGAGAGGGUGAUCGGCCACACUGGAACUGAGACACGGUCCAGACUCCUACGGGAGGCAGCAGUAGGGAAUCUUCCGCAAUGGGCGAAAGCCUGACGGAGCAACGCCGCGUGAGUGAUGAAGGUCUUCGGAUCGUAAAACUCUGUUAUUAGGGAAGAACAAAUGUGUAAGUAACUAUGCACGUCUUGACGGUACCUAAUCAGAAAGCCACGGCUAACUACGUG